Molecule: ribosomal RNA, 465 nt
Filed under: Vreelandella stevensii
Lineage: Bacteria; Pseudomonadati; Pseudomonadota; Gammaproteobacteria; Oceanospirillales; Halomonadaceae
Description: partial 16S ribosomal RNA
Rfam family: Bacterial small subunit ribosomal RNA
Source: RNAcentral
CCUACGGGAGGCAGCAGUGGGGAAUAUUGGACAAUGGGGGGAACCCUGAUCCAGCCAUGCCGCGUGUGUGAAGAAGGCCCUCGGGUUGUAAAGCACUUUCAGUGAGGAAGAACGCCUGGUGGUUAAUACCCAUCAGGAAAGACAUCACUCACAGAAGAAGCACCGGCUAACUCCGUGCCAGCAGCCGCGGUAAUACGGAGGGUGCGAGCGUUAAUCGGAAUUACUGGGCGUGAAGCGCGCGUAGGUGGCUUGAUAAGCCGGUUGUGAAAGCCCCGGGCUCAACCUGGGAACGGCAUCCGGAACUGUCAAGCUAGAGUGCAGGAGAGGAAGGUAGAAUUCCCGGUGUAGCGGUGAAAUGCGUAGAGAUCGGGAGGAAUACCAGUGGCGAAGGCGGCCUUCUGGACUGACACUGACACUGAGGUGCGAAAGCGUGGGUAGCAAACAGGAUUAGAUACCCGAGUAGUC